Molecule: long non-coding RNA, 1875 nt
Organism: Monodelphis domestica (gray short-tailed opossum)
Lineage: Eukaryota; Metazoa; Chordata; Mammalia; Didelphimorphia; Didelphidae
Source: RefSeq, a predicted model, not a curated record
UUCUAUGAUGUCAGGGGAUGGUAAUAACAUUCUGGGGCGCUCAAAAGUCAUUCCUUUUUGCCACAACUUCAGCCAUGGAUCCAGGACUGGGUUGCCCUCAAAGGGCAAUUAAGAAACUGCAGUCAUCAUGAAGGGUCCAGAAAAAAAAUGCUGUUACUCUAAAAGUUAGUGCUCAGGUCCUGAGCUUCAGCUUUAAAGGUCAAGAAGUACUUCCUGGUUAAUUGGACAUGAGAAGACCACCAUAUAAAACUUUGUUUUGCCUCUUCUUAGGCUUACUUCUUAACAUGCCUCCGACUCCGGAGAUCAGUGCAGCGACUGACUGUGUCCGUGGAAUCUGUAAUGCCUUUCCACAGCAAAUGAUCCAGUUGAGCUGGACUUUGAGGGAUGUUUUUGAUAAUGUUUUAAUCUUGACAAUUUAGUUCAAGCUUUCUUUAGUGAAGCAUUUUGUUGUUCGCCUAGGAAUGCUACUUGUCCAAACUCUGAUUUGUUUCUUUUAGAUGUAACUGUCAUAGGCAUCAACAUCAAUGAUAAUAGAGAAUAAAUAGAGUUUACAGCAUCCAGUGCUGCUCCAGAAGAGGUCGUAUAUACAUAUAGAAAGGGGGGGAAGUGGAGGAAAAACAUGGGUAGAAAAUGCUUAAGCCUGUGAAAUGUGUUGAAUGUUGUUUAAUGAACUGGGGGCUCUUUGCCUUCAUUAUGAAAUGCAGUAUUUCAUGGUGGGUCAUUUAAAAGAGCUCCUGUUGGCAACCACCACCUUGAAUCAAUCAUUACACAUUCAUUAGUGCCUACCAUGUACCAGGCACUGUGUGAAGUGCUGGAGAUUCAGAAGGAGGCAAAAGAGAGUCCCUGCCCUGGAGAAGCUUCUAACUUAAUGGGGAAGACUUCUGCCCAAUCCAUUGUAAGUUCUACUCCUCUAAGAGGCUGCUUUUUACCCAGAACAGAUCUAGGACUAAGACUAGAGUUUGUCCUCUUCUGUAUGAAAACUGACCCUCUGAGUCUGGAGUCUCCAGAGAGGAGCAGCAGAAUGGCACUAAGUGCCCUCUAUCAACUUGCAUGGCACAUUCUUUCUGACAUCAGUGCUUUGCUGUGGUCAUCCAGAGUGAAUAGCAUAAAGAACUACCAGGUGUUACUCACCACCAAGAAAAAUAAUGAGAACUUUGCACUUAUGGGCACAUGCACAGAAACGAUUGCUUAAUGGGAGGUUUCACUUUUGAUCAGACACAGCAGUCUAAGGCUUGGUGGUGCUUCCCUCCAACUCAUAGCAUGGAUCCCCCAAAAGGCAAGUACUACAGGUCCACCUGAAAGGUCUGAACCUUUGCAUAGCAUCUUCAUAAACUUCCCCAUACCAGUGUUUAUGCCAGCAGAUACAAUCGCUCCAAAGCAAUAGAAUUUCAUGAAAUGCUGUACGGUGCACAAAGAGUGACAACACUUUUCCCCUGAUUCGGAGAUGGUUUUCCACGAAUACACUCAUUAUCAGUGGGAAGAAUGGAUCUUCUCAGGGAGUUCAUAUGAGAAGAAAUGUAAAGAAUGUGAGUGCUCAGAGCAUGCUGUGGAGGAGCACACAUGGAGAGAGAGAGCACGUGACUAGGAAACACAUUUGGAGGAAAAUUUGAUUUGAAGAAGCUUCACAGCUGCUGGUUUCUUUCCUUGGUGACAUCACAUUUCUCCCAGCAAGCCCCCUCUACACUGGCCUCAGAAUUUCUGCUGGAUAUUUUCCUGCUUGUGGUGGAUUUUCUUUAUGCCUCAUGAUUUUAACCUUUGACGGCUAGACAAUAAAACAGUACUGGCUGUCCUCUGGGGCUAUGACUCUACAGAUUUCUUAAUGGACUUCUGUCACUUCACUGAUGUUGCUGGAAGUAAACUGGCAUCCUACUGUCA